GGCCUAACACAUGCAAGUCGAGCGGAUGAGGGAAGCUUGCUUCCCAAUUUAGCGGCGGACGGGUGAGUAAUGCCUAGGAAUCUGCCUAUUAGUGGGGGAUAACGUUCCGAAAGGAACGCUAAUACCGCAUACGUCCUACGGGAGAAAGUGGGGGAUCUUCGGACCUCACGCUAAUAGAUGAGCCUAGGUCGGAUUAGCUAGUUGGUGGGGUAACGGCUCACCAAGGCGACGAUCCGUAGCUGGUCUGAGAGGAUGAUCAGCCACACUGGAACUGAGACACGGUCCAGACUCCUACGGGAGGCAGCAGUGGGGAAUAUUGGACAAUGGGCGAAAGCCUGAUCCAGCCAUGCCGCGUGUGUGAAGAAGGUCUUCGGAUUGUAAAGCACUUUAAGUUGGGAGGAAGGGUUGUAAGCUAAUAUCUUGCAGCUUUGACGUUACCAACAGAAUAAGCACCGGCUAACUCUGUGCCAGCAGCCGCGGUAAUACAGAGGGUGCAAGCGUUAAUCGGAAUUACUGGGCGUAAAGCGCGCGUAGGCGGCUUAGUAAGUUGGAUGUGAAAGCCCCGGGCUCAACCUGGGAACUGCAUCCAAAACUGCUUGGCUAGAGUACAGUAGAGGGUGGUGGA
Molecule: ribosomal RNA, 625 nt
Filed under: uncultured bacterium
Lineage: Bacteria
Description: bacterial SSU rRNA
Rfam family: Bacterial small subunit ribosomal RNA
Source: RNAcentral